UGUGCCCAGCGCACCUCAACCUGGAAGGCAUUGCAGUGGGUGCAAGGCAGGACAAGCCCACGGAGCAAGCACUUCGGGUCGGCACUCACCUGCCCAGGAACUGAGAGAUACAAAAAAUUAGCCGGACGUCGUGGCGUGUGCCUGUAAUCCCAGCUACUCAGAAGGCUGAGGCAAGAGAAUCGCUUGAACCUGGGAGGCGGAGGUUGCAGUGAGCCAAGAUAGCGCCAUGGCACUCCAGCUUGGGCAAGAAGAGAAAAACUCCAUCUCCAAAAAAAAAAAGAAAAGAAAAGAAAAGAAAAGAAAAAAAAGAUCUGCAUCCUUUGAGCUCACACCAAUGGAUGAGAAAGAAGCAGGUGAAGGAAUUUAUUGUUAUAUUAUAUUAAAUAAAUAAUAAUAGUAACAGC
Molecule: long non-coding RNA, 404 nt
Organism: Pan troglodytes (chimpanzee)
Lineage: Eukaryota; Metazoa; Chordata; Mammalia; Primates; Hominidae
Exons: 2
Source: RefSeq, a predicted model, not a curated record